Molecule: ribosomal RNA, 494 nt
Filed under: uncultured bacterium
Lineage: Bacteria
Description: partial 16S ribosomal RNA
Rfam family: Bacterial small subunit ribosomal RNA
Source: RNAcentral
GACGAACGCUGGCGGCGUGCUUAACACAUGCAAGUCGAACGGUAAGGCCUGCUUUCCCUUGUGGAUUGCGGGUACUCGAGUGGCGAACGGGUGAGUAACACGUGAGUGAUCUGCCCCCAACUUGGGUAUAAGCCUGGGAAACUGGGUCUAAUUCCCGAUAGGACUGCAGGGUGGUGCCUGUGGUGGAAAACGAUUUUCUAGUGGUUGGGGAUGAGCUCGCGGCCUAUCAGCUUGUUGGUGGGGUAAUGGCCUACCAAGGCGGCGACGGGUAGCCGGCCUGAGAGGGUGGACGGCCACAUUGGGACUGAGAUACGGCCCAGACUCCUACGGGAGGCAGCAGUGGGGAAGAUUGCACAAUGGGCGGAAGCCUGAUGCAGCGACGCCGCGUGGGGGAUGACGGCCUUCGGGUGGUAAACUCCUUUCGACCGCGAGGAAGCCACCUGGUUGGAAGGGUGGUGACGGUAGUGGUAGAAGAAGCACCGGCUAACUACGUG